This 932-nucleotide ribosomal RNA is filed under the name uncultured eukaryote. RNAcentral describes it as "SSU rRNA". It matches the Rfam family "Eukaryotic small subunit ribosomal RNA", at positions 83 to 1022 of the family's 1831-position model. The record is from RNAcentral.
GAAACUGCGAAUGGCUCAUUAAAUCAGUUAUGGUUUAUUUGAUGGUACCUACUACUUGGAUAACCGUAGUAAUUCUAGAGCUAAUACAUGCAGGAAGACCCGACUUCGGAAGGGUUGUAUUUAUUAGAUAAGAAACCAAUCCAGCUUGCUGGUUGCGUGCUGAGUCACAAUAACUGCUCGAAUCGCAUGGCUUUAUGCCGGCGAUGGUUCAUUCAAAUUUCUGCCCUAUCAGCUUUCGAUGGUAGGAUCGAGGCCUACCAUGGCGUUUACGGGUAACGGAGAAUUAGGGUUCGAUUCCGGAGAGGGAGCCUGAGAGAUGGCUACCACAUCCAAGGAAGGCAGCAGGCGCGUAAAUUGCCCGAAUCCUGACACAGGGAGGUAGUGACAAGAAAUAACAAUACAGGGCUACAUCUAGUCUUGUAAUUGGAAUGAGUACAAUUUACAUCUCUUCACGAGGAUCAAUUGGAGGGCAAGUCUGGUGCCAGCAGCCGCGGUAAUUCCAGCUCCAAUAGCGUAUAUUAAAGUUGUUGCAGUUAGAACGCUCGUAGUCGGAUUUCGGGGCGGGUCGACCGGUCUGCCGAUGGGUACGCACUGGCCGACGCGUCCUUCCUUCCGGAGACCGUCUCACUCUUAACUGAGCGGAGGCGGGAGACGGAACGUUUACUUUGAAAAAAUCAGAGUGUUUCAAGCAGGCAGCUCGCUCUUGCAUGGAUUAGCAUGGGAUAAUGAAAUAGGACUUUGGUGCUAUUUUGUUGGUUUCGAACACCGAAGUAAUGAUGAGAAGGGACAGUCAGGGGCACUCGUAUUCCGCCGAGAGAGGUGAAAUUCUCAGACCAGCGGGAAGACGAACCAUUGCGAAAGCAUUUGCCAGGGAUGUUUUCACUGAUCAAGAACGAAAGUUAGGGGAUCGAAGACGAUCAGAUACCGUCGUA